Non-coding RNA from Trametopsis cervina, 84 nucleotides. NCBI's taxonomy places the organism in Eukaryota, Fungi, Basidiomycota, Agaricomycetes, Polyporales, Irpicaceae. The record is from the annotation of a GenBank genome assembly.
GGCCGGCUGGCCUAAUGGUUAAGGCGUCAGUUUCCGGUGUCACACCUAAGCUGAAGAUUCCGAGUUCGACUCUCGGGUUGGUCG